This is a long non-coding RNA of Populus trichocarpa (black cottonwood), 2015 nucleotides long. RefSeq lists it as uncharacterized. The transcript is spliced from 2 exons. The record is from RefSeq and is a predicted model, not a curated record. Lineage: Eukaryota; Viridiplantae; Streptophyta; Magnoliopsida; Malpighiales; Salicaceae.
UAAUAAAAUCAGGUUGCCAUGGAUUAAGAUUUUGUUGAAGGUCGGGAAAGAUGGAGGGAGGGGGCAUCAACCUAACUUAUAUGCAUAGCCUUUUUCCGUAUCAAUUCUUUGUUUUUGUUUUAUAGGAGAAAAAACAUACGUAUAUUUUUGACAACGUACGUGAUUUUUCAAAAAUAAAGAAACCUGUCAGACAACCGCAUGACCAUUCCCAGCCAUGUUAAUAGCUGAGAAACGAUCCUCUACAGCCAUGAUGAUCACGAGGGCCAUCAAGCCAUUAUUCACGCUAUGAUCACACGGUCAUGAUUCCUCAACCAGGUUUAAGUUCCUGUCUCCUUAGUGAUUAAGGAUACAGAGGGUGUUUUUGUCCUAAGGAAAACGCUUUGUCCGUCUUUUUGCUUCUUGCUACGAGCCCCGCUGCCACGGUAAUAUCCAAGGGGAGAGUAGUGAUAUGAAAGUACGAGGAUGACCCUCAACUACUGCGGCGCUGCCUUUGUGGACCUUGUGGUGGUAUUUUAGAAUCCCGACCGGGGACUAUCUGCUACUGUUUUGGAGAAAACAGCGUUCUUGCUGAGGGAGGAGCACGUUGAAAACUCAGAUGAGAUGACAAGAUUUCUAAAAACGUUUCGAGGUAGAGGAAAUCAAUUACAAGAGAGGAUGGGUUGCCUGGUACAAACUGGUUUGGACUACAAUGUUGUCUCCAGCUUCAUUAAACAAGUUCCAAUGGUGCCAAACCAGACCAAAGAUGCACUUGAAAAGAAGAUUGAUUGCAUGACAAAUUUCCUAGGCUACUCGGUCAACUCACUGGAGGAAUUCCCAGCAUAUUUAUGCUAUGACUUUGAGAGGGUUAAACUUAGAUUUCGAAUGUAUAUUCGGCUGAGGGAAAAAGGUGCAGCAAAACCCAAAGUAUCGAUGGGCACAAUCCUUGCAUGUUCAUGUGCAAUUUGUAAAACAUUAUGUAGAUGUCCACUCUUAAGGACCAGCUAUGUGGGAAAGUUUAAGGAAUGCAUCAGCUUCAAGCCAAGGCUAGUUCUGCAUUUAAAUUGUGCACAGUUUAUAUGUAUUGUUUCAGUCAAAUUGAUGCCAUCCAUUCAUUACCACGGAUCUAAUCGCUGAGCGUUUUCUCUGUUUGCUGUAGUUUUUAACAAAUUUCUCUAUGAAUCAUCCAUCUCGUGUUCUCUGUUGCUCACAAUACCAUGUUGCUUGUUGUUCUCCAACUUGCAGAUCUGAGAUGGCAGCCAUUAAUUAAUGAAUGCACUAGUAUGUGGUCUUGUGCUGUGCGCGCAUCAGUGGCCAGCCUGAGUUUACCUGCUAAUGAAAAUGUCUCCUCCAUUAAAAAUCCAUCAUCUAUCCUUUUUUUUCAAAUCAGCCGUCUAUAUUGAAUGCUUUCGCUGACAAGAGACCAAGGAUAAGGUUUUGUCUAAUACACGGUUGUUGAGGGCUGCUGGUGUUACACAAGUGUAGCAGUGCAAGUGUCUGUGGUCAAUUCCAUCUUGGAGGUGUAACGUGGUUGUGUUAAGUGCUAACCCUAUCCAUAUUUGUUGUGUCAUUAAUACAUGUGUCGUUUUUGCUCUCUUACUAUCGAACAGUAGCCCAGCCUGGUAAGAACUUAUUGACCAUGCCAGGCGGUGCCCAUAUUUGCAUGCUUGUUCUGCCCAUGGGCCUGUCAAUCCAUUUGACACCUCUGCCAUAAUAGCUCAAAAGGUUAAUGGAGUUUUUGGAACUGGCUGGUUUGCUCUAAAGCCAUCCAUCAUGGGACUUUUAACCAUUGACUUGACGUUCAGGCUUCAGCAGAUGAUUUGGUUGCAUAGAUACAAGGUCGUCCUGUCCUGUAUGAAUGGGAUGAAACAGUGUGUUCGUCCCUUGUUUGCUGUGGACCGAAACUCAACAUUCACAGUUUGUUUUUUCCAAGACAAAGCAAAAUAUUCAUAGUUGAUGAGCGAAAGGUUCGUGCUCCUUACUGAAAGAAAAAAUAAAUAAAUUAAAAGAGUGUGCUCCUUAUAUCUUAGUCAAUGCUA